AUUUAAAUAGUUUAUAAAAAACGUUGGUCUGUGGAUCCAAAGAUAUAAUUUUGAGAUUAUUUUAAAUC
Molecule: transfer RNA, 68 nt
Filed under: Pseudosquilla ciliata
Lineage: Eukaryota; Metazoa; Arthropoda; Malacostraca; Stomatopoda; Pseudosquillidae
Description: tRNA-His
Rfam family: tRNA
About the family: Transfer RNA (tRNA) molecules are approximately 80 nucleotides in length. Their secondary structure includes four short double-helical elements and three loops (D, anti-codon, and T loops).
Source: RNAcentral